AAACCAGCACCUCAAGUGGUCAGGAUGAUUAUUGGGCCUAAAGCAUCCGUAGCCGGCUCUGUAAGUUUUCGGUUAAAUCUGUACGCUCAACGUACAGGCUGCCGGAAAUACUGCAGGGCUAGGGAGUGGGAGAGGUAGACGGUACUCGGGAGGAAGGGGUAAAAUCCUUUGAUCUCUCGAUGACCACCUGUGGCGAAGGCGGUCUACCAGAACACGUCCGACGGUGAGGGAUGAAAGCUGGGGGAGCAAACCGGAUUAGAAACCCGAGUAGUCC
RNAcentral lists this ribosomal RNA (274 nucleotides) under uncultured bacterium. RNAcentral describes it as "partial 16S ribosomal RNA". It matches the Rfam family "Archaeal small subunit ribosomal RNA", at positions 473 to 747 of the family's 1478-position model. The record is from RNAcentral.